RNAcentral lists this transfer RNA (72 nucleotides) under Sphaerodactylus townsendi. RNAcentral's name for it is "tRNA-Ala". It matches the Rfam family "tRNA". Rfam says of the family: Transfer RNA (tRNA) molecules are approximately 80 nucleotides in length. Their secondary structure includes four short double-helical elements and three loops (D, anti-codon, and T loops). The record is from RNAcentral. Lineage: Eukaryota; Metazoa; Chordata; Lepidosauria; Squamata; Sphaerodactylidae.
GGAAAUGUGGCUCAGUAGUAGAGCACUGGCUUUGCAUGCAGAAGGUCCCAGGUUCAAUCCCAGGCAUAUCCA